RNAcentral lists this ribosomal RNA (253 nucleotides) under uncultured bacterium. RNAcentral's name for it is "partial 16S ribosomal RNA". It matches the Rfam family "Bacterial small subunit ribosomal RNA", at positions 524 to 776 of the family's 1533-position model. The record is from RNAcentral.
UACAGAGGUGGCAAGCGUUGUUCGGAAUUACUGGGCGUAAAGGGCGCGUAGGCGGCCAUCUAAGUCAGACGUGAAAUCCCCCGGCUUAACCUGGGAACUGCGUCUGAUACUGGACGGCUUGAGUAUGGGAGAGGGAUGUAGAAUUCCAGGUGUAGCGGUGAAAUGCGUAGAUAUCUGGAGGAAUACCGGUGGCGAAGGCGGCAUCCUGGACCGGCAUUGACGCUGAGGAGCGAAAGCCAGGGGAGCAAACGGG